RNAcentral lists this long non-coding RNA (1492 nucleotides) under Danio rerio (zebrafish). Its description in RNAcentral is "lncRNA si:rp71-26b20.1 (ENSDARG00000095432.2)". Lineage: Eukaryota; Metazoa; Chordata; Actinopteri; Cypriniformes; Danionidae. The record is from RNAcentral.
AUCGCGGGAAAACGUCCCUCAGACUGUGGACGUGACAGUCGCGCUUCAAGCAGUGAAACUCACAUCAAACAAUGAAUGAAUGGUGGUAAGAGUCAAAGCAGAGGAUUAAAUCAUUGGAAAGAUGCUGCUCAUCAUGUGAGGUUGGGGAAGGAUAAAGACAUGCUUAUGUGGAGGUACAUCAGUGACAUCAAAGAGUGUGUCAUGUGGAGGAGUUGACCUUCUCUCCUGUAACAAACAUGAAAAAGCAAAGUCUCUUCAUGAGCCAUUAUCUUUGAAUUCUGAACAGAGUGAGCUUCAAAGAGCGCCUCCAUGAGCCUGUGGCUUUAACCAACACAAACAGAGCUGUCUUCUACAGAGCCCGUCGCUUGGACAAACACAAACAGAGUUGUUUUCUACAGAGUACCUCUAUGAGCUCGUCACUUUGACAAACACAGAGUUGUCUUCUACAGAGCACCUCCAUAAGCCAGUCGCUUCGGCAAACACAGAGUUGUCUUCUACAGAGUACCUCCCUGAGCCCGUCACUUUGACCAACACAGAGGUGUCUUCUACAGAGUACCUCCAUGAGCCAGUCACUUUGUCAAACACAAACAGAGUUGUCUUCUACAGAGUACCUAUAUGAGCCCGUCACUUUGACAAACACAAAGACUUGUCUUCUACAGAGAACCUCCAUAAGCCAGUCACUUUGUCAAACACAAACAGAGUUGUCUUCUACAGAGCACCUCCAUAAGCCAGUUGCUUUGACAAACACAAACAGAGCUGUCUUCUACAGAGUACCUCCAUGAGCCAGUCGCUUUGACCAACACAGAGUUGUUUUCUACAGAGGAAAUAACAGGUGAAUCUUGACAGAAAUCCAGGAAGCCAGACAGUGAUGGUGGUGAUGGCUCUAGCACUGGCAGAACAACCUACAUGAGAAGACCAUGGACAAAAGCAGACGUGAAGGCUGUAAUGAGUUCAAAAGACUGAUUAUUAUUGUACACAUUUUCUUUUUUUUCCCUUGUCACAGAGUGACAAUAUUUAACUAUUUUCAAACAUGUAAAUAAAAAAUAAAAAAACAUGGCCCAGGCCCACUUCUGUUCCAUGCCAGUGCUUCACAGUCCAUCAUCACUCUAGGGCAGUCUCUACAUUGCUCUACAGAUUGCCUCUGCUUCUCAACCCAUGUCUGCCACUACUCCACAGUCUGGUACUGCUCCACAGUCCAGGUCCACGUCUGUUUCAUGAGCCUGGGCAAUACCCAUCACACAAAAACCCAUAACCCACAAAUGCAGUCCCUCAGACUGAACAUUUACAACAGUGUUGAGUAGCAAAAAGACAUGUUUUUUGUUUUUUAUUUACAUGUUUGAAAAUGGUCAAAUAUUGUCACUGUGACAAAAAAAGUGAAAAUGUGUAUGAUAAUAAUUAGUCACAUUAUAACACAUUAUAUUACUGUCACAUUACGAAAUUUAGUUUUUAAUCUGUUUUGUGUUCAUAUAAUUCUGUAUGUAUCAUUCAAUUU